This 482-nucleotide ribosomal RNA is filed under the name uncultured bacterium. Its description in RNAcentral is "partial 16S ribosomal RNA". It matches the Rfam family "Bacterial small subunit ribosomal RNA", at positions 30 to 507 of the family's 1533-position model. The record is from RNAcentral.
AUUGAACGCUGGCGGCAUGCUUUACACAUGCAAGUCGAACGGUAACAGGCCGCAAGGUGCUGACGAGUGGCGAACGGGUGAGUAAUGCAUCGGAACGAGCCCAGUCGUGGGGGAUAACUACUCGAAAGAGUAGCUAAUACCGCAUACGAUCUAUGGAUGAAAGCGGGGGACCGUAAGGCCUCGCGCGAUUGGAGCGGCCGAUGUCAGAUUAGGUAGUUGGUGGGGUAAAGGCUCACCAAGCCAACGAUCUGUAGCUGGUCUGAGAGGACGACCAGCCACACUGGGACUGAGACACGGCCCAGACUCCUACGAUAGGCAGCAGUGGGGAAUUUUGGACAAUGGGCGCAAGCCUGAUCCAGCAAUGCCGCGUGCAGGAAGAAGGCCUUCGGGUUGUAAACUGCUUUUGUACGGAACGAAACGGCUCUGGUUAAUACCCGGGGCUAAUGACGGUACCGUAAGAAUAAGCACCGGCUAACUACGUG